This 1440-nucleotide long non-coding RNA is filed under the name Gossypium raimondii (Peruvian cotton). Its description in RNAcentral is "long non-coding RNA (GRAI_LNC003639)". The record is from RNAcentral. Lineage: Eukaryota; Viridiplantae; Streptophyta; Magnoliopsida; Malvales; Malvaceae.
AAAUAGGGGAUUCCAAACUCAUUCUGACUCUGUCUAAUUAAACUUCAAAUAUCUCAAAAUAUAUAACUCUUUUGCUUUUUCUAUUUCUUUUAUGUGAAAAUAGACUCAUUAAUCUUCAAUUUCAUAUAUUAUUCAGCCUCUAAUUAAAUUUCCACCAUUUUUGGUGAUUUUUCAAAGUCACACAACUGUUGCUGUCUAAACUGUUUUGUUGCUAAAUGUACUCUUUCAUAAUUUCACUUUUUCACUUUCAAUCACAAUUCAAUUCAAAAUUCACUUUUCCAUUUCUAAGUCGAUAUUCAAUUCAGUUCCACACCUAUAUUCAUUAUUCAAUUACACUUAGUCAAUUUCCCGUUGAACACUCGGAAUAUACAUAGAUACGUAGAGAAUUAGCACAUAAGUGCCACACUGAUAUGUAGCCGAAGCUACCACUGAUACGUAGCCGAAGCUACCACUGAUACGUAGCCGAAGCUACCACUGAUAUGUAGCCGAAGCUACCACUGAUACGUAGCCGAAGCUACCACUGAUCAAUAACACUGGAAAUGUCCACGGGCCUGCUCACACAAGCUGUCAGGUGUCUGCAACACAUGCUAGAUCACCCAGCACCCGGGACUCACUGUAACACUGUAACACUGAUCUCUAGUGACAUGUCACUUGUAUCCACUUCUAUUCCUAAGUUCAACCGGGAAUUUACACUUAACACUUUAUUUUAAACACUUUAUCACUUGAAUAAUUCAUGAACAAUUUUCCUUCCACAUUCAAUAUUAAUUCACAUAUCAAAUAUAAUUCACAAUUUAUAAAAAUAUAACUAUUAUUUACACGUAACUUACUUUGAUGCAAUAAUAUAAAAAUUUAGCAAUUUAGUCUUUAAUCUUUCCUUUUCUCCGGUCAAGGUCGAUUCCACUUCUUUCUUGAUCUAUAAUAACACAUUUGACUUAUUUAGUACUCACAUUUAUCAAAACAGUCCUUGACUCAAACUUUGGUAAAAUUUUAAUUUUGCCCCUAAACUUUUACAUAUUUACACUUUUGCCCCAAAGCUCGUAAAUUAAACUUCAUCCCUUAUUCUUAUGUAUUAUGACAUGUUGAACAUUUUUCCCUUCUAUAGAAACAUCAAAUUCCAACUCUAACACUUACUUAUGAACAUUUAGUAUUUUUAUCGAUUAUGUCGUUUUACUCGUUUUCACUCAAAAUCGCUUAGCAAAAGUUGCUUAACAUAAUUCUAAGCUUCAUAUUCUAUCAUGAAACAUCAAAAUUCACACUUUUCAUCUAUGGGUAAUUUUUCAGACAUGAAUUCUAGCUCGAAUUAAUGGUAGAGAUAGCUUAAGCAAGUUAUCGGGAUGCGAAAAAUACAAAGAACAAGAAAAACGGGGCUAGAACGGACUUACCAUGAAGCUUGGAAGAUGAACAAACCCUAGCCAUGGUGUUCCCUUGCUACAUACGGCC